UACGUAGGGUGCAAGCGUUUGUCCGGAAUUAUUGGGCGUAAAGAGCUCGUAGGCGGUCUGUUGCGUCCGCUGUGAAAACUCGGGGCUUAACCCCGAGCCUGCAGUGGAUACGGGCAGACUAGAGGUAGGUAGGGGAGAAUGGAAUUCCCGGUGUAGCGGUGAAAUGCGCAGAUAUCGGGAGGAACACCGGUGGCGAAGGCGGUUCUCUGGGCCUUACCUGACGCUGAGGAGCGAAAGCGUGGGGAGCGAACAGG
This 254-nucleotide ribosomal RNA is filed under the name uncultured bacterium. Its description in RNAcentral is "partial 16S ribosomal RNA". It matches the Rfam family "Bacterial small subunit ribosomal RNA", at positions 524 to 776 of the family's 1533-position model. The record is from RNAcentral.